Molecule: ribosomal RNA, 321 nt
Filed under: uncultured eukaryote
Lineage: Eukaryota
Description: partial 18S ribosomal RNA
Rfam family: Eukaryotic small subunit ribosomal RNA
Source: RNAcentral
CCCUUAGAUGUUCUGGGCCGCACGCGCGCUACACUGAUGAACGCAACGAGACCACCUGUACCGAAAGGCAUGGGUAAACUUGUGAAAGUUCAUCGUGAUGGGGAUAGAUUAUUGCAAUUAUUAAUCUUCAACGAGGAAUUCCUAGUAAGCGCGGGUCAUCAGCUCGCGUUGAUUACGUCCCUGCCCUUUGUACACACCGCCCGUCGCUCCUACCGAUUGAAUGGUCCGGUGAAAUCUUCGGAUUGCUGGAUAGGACUUCAUUGACCUAUCUGCGAGAAGUUGCUUGAACCUUAUCAUUUAGAGGAAGGAGAAGUCGUAACA